Molecule: long non-coding RNA, 617 nt
Filed under: Homo sapiens (human)
Lineage: Eukaryota; Metazoa; Chordata; Mammalia; Primates; Hominidae
Description: HSALNT0373970
Source: RNAcentral
GAGAAUAGUUUAAUAUGAUCGUUAAUAAUAUGAUUAACAGCAAUUUUAUCAUCUUGCAUUUUGAAGUGCUUUAUGAUUUAUAAGCGCUGAAUCUCAUAAACAGAGACUCAGAGUUUGAAUCAUUUGCCUAAGGUGUGAGCACAGAUCUGGACACCCAGCUCAGUGAAUGGAGAAGAUCAGGGAAAGUCUGAAUGAAGGCCAGCAGGCAGUAUCAGCCGAACCAAGAAGGGCCAUAAAGCUGCAGACCAGGAAAUCUGCCCUCUGAGAGCACAGAAUUUAGAAUGGACAGCAAAUUUAGUAAAAGUGUUCCAGCUAGAAGAUUUGGAUGAAAAGUGAUUCCAAAAAAAUGAGGCAAUCUCAUCCCGAAACUAUUUAAAACUACUCUCCUCUCUCUUGAUAAACCGUCAGUAGGAAGUGUGUCGUUUAUUCCCUCACUCCACACUGGAUUCAUAUGGGCUGAUAGCAGCAGGAUUAAAAAUUUUUUUCAUCAUGAGUUAAAUCCCUAAGAUUUAGAGUAUUUUGUUUGUCUGAAUGUCUAAGCGGUACAAACCUUAGCAAUCCAUAUUAAAAUGGAGAAUUCCUUCUUUUGGUAUUCACAAGCAUAACAUACAUAAUCC